RNAcentral lists this ribosomal RNA (570 nucleotides) under Leptodactylus latinasus (oven frog). Its description in RNAcentral is "partial large subunit ribosomal RNA". It matches the Rfam family "Bacterial large subunit ribosomal RNA", at positions 1816 to 2597 of the family's 2925-position model. Lineage: Eukaryota; Metazoa; Chordata; Amphibia; Anura; Leptodactylidae. The record is from RNAcentral.
CGCCUCUUGCUAAACUUAUAAGAGGUCCAGCCUGCCCAGUGACUUUGUUCAACGGCCGCGGUAUCCUAACCGUGCGAAGGUAGCGUAAUCACUUGUUCUUUAAAUGAGGACUAGUAUGAAUGGCAUCACGAAGGUUAUACUGUCUCCUUUCUCUAAUCAGUGAAACUAAUCUUCCCGUGAAGAAGCGGGAAUAAAUAUAUAAGACGAGAAGACCCUAUGGAGCUUUAAACAAAUAUACAAUUGCCCACCCUAUCUUUAAUUCCAGAAGAAAAAAAUUUUAUACGGGCACCUUGAUAUAGAGUUUUAGGUUGGGGUGACCGCGGAGCAAAGAAUAACCUCCGCAAUGAAGGGGGAUUUCCCCUAAACCGAGGGCCACGACCCAAAGUAUCAACAAAUUGACACUAUUGACCCAAUACAGUUGAUCAAUGAACCAAGUUACCCUAGGGAUAACAGCGCAAUCCACUUCAAGAGCCCCUAUCGACAAGUGGGUUUACGACCUCGAUGUUGGAUCAGGGUAUCCUAGUGGUGCAGCCGCUACUAAUGGUUCGUUUGUUCAACGAUUAAAACCCU